Molecule: transfer RNA, 67 nt
Filed under: Ochthebius colveranus
Lineage: Eukaryota; Metazoa; Arthropoda; Insecta; Coleoptera; Hydraenidae
Description: tRNA-Val
Source: RNAcentral
CAAAUUAGAGCUCGAAGAGUAUUUUAUUUACAUUAAAAAGUUAAUUGUUAAAUUCAAUUUAAUUUGA